Molecule: small nucleolar RNA, 110 nt
Filed under: Gossypium hirsutum (cotton)
Lineage: Eukaryota; Viridiplantae; Streptophyta; Magnoliopsida; Malvales; Malvaceae
Also listed under: 1 other name
Description: Plant small nucleolar RNA R71
Rfam family: Plant small nucleolar RNA R71
About the family: R71 is a member of the C/D box family of snoRNAs containing the C (UGAUGA) and D (CUGA) box motifs. Multiple nearly identical copies of this snoRNA have been identified in Arabidopsis, and it is thought to function as a 2'-O-ribose methylation guide for 18S ribosomal RNA.
Source: Rfam by way of RNAcentral
AGUCCAUGGUGUGGGCACUUCCUUAGCAUUUUCUUGAAAUGCUCUCACGCCUCGUACAAGGAUUCACCUUCGUAUUUUUUAAAAUUGGAAAUUUCUCACCUUAUCUGAAU